UACGGGGGGGGCAAGCGUUGUUCGGAAUUACUGGGCGUAAAGGGCUCGUAGGCGGCCAACUAAGUCGGAUGUGAAAUCCCCAGGCUCAACUUGGGAACUGCAUCCGAUACUGGAUGGCUUGAAUUCGGGAGAGGGAAGCGGAAUUCCCGGUGUAGUGGUGAAAUGCGUAGAUAUCGGGAGGAACACCAGUGGCGAAGGCGGCUUCCUGGCCUGUUCUUGACGCUGAGGCGCGAAAGCUAGGGGAGCAAACGGG
Molecule: ribosomal RNA, 253 nt
Filed under: uncultured bacterium
Lineage: Bacteria
Description: partial 16S ribosomal RNA
Rfam family: Bacterial small subunit ribosomal RNA
Source: RNAcentral